AGAGACAGCAUCGCCGCGGUAAUACUGAGGGUGCGAGCGUUAAUCGGAUUUACUGGGCGUAAAGCGUGCGUAGGCGGCUUCUUAAGUCGGAUGUGAAAUCCCUGAGCUUAACUUAGGAAUUGCAUUCGAUACUGGGAAGCUAGAGUAUGGGAGAGGAUGGUAGAAUUCCAGGUGUAGCGGUGAAAUGCGUAGAGAUCUGGAGGAAUACCGAUGGCGAAGGCAGCCAUCUGGCCUAAUACUGACGCUGAGGUACGAAAGCAUGGGGAGCAAACAGGAUUAGAUACCCCCGUAGUCCCUGUCUCUUAUACA
This 309-nucleotide ribosomal RNA is filed under the name uncultured bacterium. RNAcentral describes it as "partial 16S ribosomal RNA". It matches the Rfam family "Bacterial small subunit ribosomal RNA", at positions 504 to 808 of the family's 1533-position model. The record is from RNAcentral.